Oncorhynchus tshawytscha (Chinook salmon) is the source of this 313-nucleotide long non-coding RNA. RefSeq lists it as uncharacterized. The record is from RefSeq and is a predicted model, not a curated record. NCBI's taxonomy places the organism in Eukaryota, Metazoa, Chordata, Actinopteri, Salmoniformes, Salmonidae. The transcript has 3 exons.
GUGAUGGCAUGCAAAUACUGCUAGACGCCACUGAGCGGUUGUCCUCUAGAGAGCCAUUCUGGACAAUAGGGACCUGCAGUGUCUCAGGUAUCUGCUGUGUCUCAGGACUACAUUGGUUACAUUGACCUCUGAUAAAGAUCUGGCUCAGUGGAUGUGGUCUCUCCCAUCCUCCCUCCCUGCCUGUCAGCCUAGCAGAGAGCAGUCUGGCAACACGUGCUGAGACACUGAAAUUGUUCAGAGUGACCGCUGGGAUGAAGUGAUGUACUGUGGCUGUUAUAACUUUUUAUUCAACCUUUAACCAGGUAAGUAAUUG